This 460-nucleotide ribosomal RNA is filed under the name uncultured bacterium. RNAcentral describes it as "partial 16S ribosomal RNA". It matches the Rfam family "Bacterial small subunit ribosomal RNA", at positions 338 to 795 of the family's 1533-position model. The record is from RNAcentral.
CCUACGGGAGGCAGCAGUGAGGAAUAUUGGUCAAUGGACGAGAGUCUGAACCAGCCAAGUAGCGUGAAGGAUGACUGCCCUAUGAGUUGUAAACUUCUUUUAUAUGGGAAUAAAAUGUUCCACGUGUGGGAUUUUGUAUGUAUCAUAUGAAUAAGGAUCGGCUAACUCCGUGCCAGCAGCCGCGGUAAUACGGAGGAUCCGAGCGUUAUCCGGAUUUAUUGGGUUUAAAGGGAGCGUAGGUGGAUUGUUAAGUCAGUUGUGAAAGUUUGCGGCUCAACCGUAAAAUUGCAGUUGAAACUGGCAGUCUUGAGUACAGUAGAGGUAGGCGGAAUUCGUGGUGUAGCGGUGAAAUGCUUAGAUAUCACGCAGAACUCCGAUUGCGAAGGCAGUUCACUGGACUGCAACUGACACUGAGGCUCGAAAGUGUGGGUAUCAAACAGGAUUAGAUACCCCUGUAGUC